RNAcentral lists this long non-coding RNA (933 nucleotides) under Mus caroli (Ryukyu mouse). Its description in RNAcentral is "predicted gene 13658 (MGP_CAROLIEiJ_G0005412.1)". Lineage: Eukaryota; Metazoa; Chordata; Mammalia; Rodentia; Muridae. The record is from RNAcentral.
CAUGAUGAAAAUUGUUUUUAGGAGUUUAUCAUAUACCCACAUGAACAUGACCUCCUACAAGGUCCAGAGAAAGGAAGAGAAAUGGUGUGUACAUAAAAACCCAGUACAGAAUUAAAGCCAAAAAAAAAAAAAAAAACUAACUAUAAAACGACAAGGACCUAUGUUUCGGAGGGGGAAAUACAAAGAACUUUGAAAAACUUCAGGCAGAUCAUUAAUUAAUUUGGGCUUAUUAUUUCCAACUAAGAGCCAGGGCAAUUUUAAGUGGUCUGACUAAACUCUUACACUCAUUCAUUCACUUGGAAAACAACCAUUGCUUCCCAGCCACUUUUCUGGCCCCAGGGACCAAAGUUAAAUUUCUGCAUUUAUUUCCCCCAACUUUCUGACUGAUUGAAUAAAGCUCUGAACUCUGACAGCCUAGCUCAUGCGACCAGCUACUGUCAUAACGUUCAUCCUUGUUUACCAAAAUAGCCUGGCAUUUAGUAAGAGAAAGUGGAUUUUAAGGCUGAGCGGCAUCAAAAUGGUCCACCUGUGUAUCUGCUGGAAACAUUAAACAAGCAAUUAAGUCCUUCAUCUCCAGUCAUUCCACACGGUUUGUCCAGGGGCGUCCGUUAUCACCACAGGCUGUGUUGUUUUAAGAAACCUGAAUUCAGCCAAGAUAAUGAAAAUCUCCAAGUCAGAGCAAGUGCUGCAUAUUCAGGGGGUUCCUGCAGUUUCUGCCUCUCCCAGCCUUUAUCUUCUAAGGCCUGUAUUAGUUACUUUUCUCACUGUUCUGAUGGAUACGACUUAAGGGAGAAAGGAUUUAUUUUGGUUCUCAGUUCCAGAAGUUAGUUUGCCAUGCCAGGACAGGCCUGGUGGAGCAUCUCUGUGGUCGGUGGCCGGAGUGUGUCAAGCCAGUUCCUCACAUCUUUGUGAUUUCCAUUGCAUGGCCUAGUG